AUAUCCUAACAACCUUGUCAUCUGACUCUGACAUUGAUGUAAAAUCAUGGUUCUCGAAAUUCCUAUCCUGAAUUACAUUCUUCUUUUCUUUAAAGUCUAAGCAAAUUAACGUACACAUGUAUUCACAAAACAUUAAAUAAUGAAAAUCUUUGAUGCUGCUGUAUGUUUAUUCAAUCAUAGCAGCAUUGUCUCAAUACAUCAUAACACACUGAAACUCAUUUUUAAAGCCAAUAAGAGGAGUUCUUCCCGACAUUACUGAUUAUAACUGCUUCCUUCUUAUGACACCUAUUGAAAACAUUGAUAACAUUACAAAAGCAAAUACACAUACUUUUAAAAUAGAUAAUAACGAUGUUAAAGGUGAAAUAAACAUGAUUAUUUGUUAUUAAAUUUCUAUACAUCUUUGUCAAUAUCUUUUUAAACAGGUUUUCCUUCUUCCUGGUUUAAAUGUUAUGACUCUCCCAAU
This 463-nucleotide long non-coding RNA is filed under the name Mytilus galloprovincialis (Mediterranean mussel). Lineage: Eukaryota; Metazoa; Mollusca; Bivalvia; Mytilida; Mytilidae. The record is from RNAcentral.